RNAcentral lists this ribosomal RNA (443 nucleotides) under uncultured bacterium. RNAcentral's name for it is "bacterial SSU rRNA". It matches the Rfam family "Bacterial small subunit ribosomal RNA", at positions 28 to 480 of the family's 1533-position model. The record is from RNAcentral.
GACGAACGCUGGCGGCGUGCUUAACACAUGCAAGUCGAACGGUGAAAGCGGAGCUUGCUCCGCUGGAUCAGUGGCGAACGGGUGAGUAACACGUGGGCAACCUGCCCCUCACUUCGGGAUAACUCCGGGAAACCGGGGCUAAUACCGAAUACGACCUCCUUGGCACCUUUGGAGGUGGAAAGUUUUUCGGUGAGGGAUGGGCCCGCGGCCUAUCAGCUUGUUGGUGAGGUAGUGGCUCACCAAGGCGACGACGGGUAGCCGGCCUGAGAGGGCGACCGGCCACACUGGGACUGAGACACGGCCCAGACUCCUACGGGAGGCAGCAGUGGGGAAUAUUGCGCAAUGGGCGAAAGCCUGACGCAGCAACGCCGCGUGCGGGAUGACGGCCUUCGGGUCUGUACACCGCUUUCAGCAGGGAAGAAGCCGCCAAGGUGACGGUACCU